RNAcentral lists this ribosomal RNA (604 nucleotides) under uncultured fungus. RNAcentral describes it as "eukaryotic LSU rRNA". The stretch from base 137 to 291 matches the Rfam family "5.8S ribosomal RNA". Lineage: Eukaryota; Fungi. The record is from RNAcentral.
UGUCGCUGGCUUCGGCAUGUGCACGUCCUUUUCUCGCCUCACCCCACACUUGUGCACCUUCUGUAGGCCCUCGAAAGAGGGUCUACGUCUUCCAUUCACACCGAUCGCAUGUCCAUAGAAUGUCAUAAUUAAAUACAACUUUCAGCAACGGAUCUCUUGGCUCUCGCAUCGAUGAAGAACGCAGCGAAUUGCGAUAAGUAAUGUGAAUUGCAGAUUUCCAGUGAAUCAUCGAAUCUUUGAACGCACCUUGCGCUCCUUGGCAUUCCGAGGAGCAUGCCUGUUUGAGUGUCAUCGAAUUCUCAACCAUGUCUUACAUGGCUUGGACGUUUGGGGGUCUGCUGGCAACAUCGUCAGCUCUCCUGAAAUGCAUUAGCAAAAUGGUAGACAUACACGGCCUUCCGACGUGAUAAUGAUCGUCGCGGCUGGAGUGUCGGACGCCUGUGUUUGCUUACUGUAGCGUGCUUAGCUACUAGUCGGUCGUGAGGCUGGCGAACGCGGCACGACAUUUGACGACUUGACCUCAAAUCAGGUAGGACUACCCGCUGAACUUAAGCAUAUCAAUAAGCGGAGGAAAAGAAACUAACAAGGAUUCCCCUAGUAACUG